AUUGUACGCUGGCGGCAGGCCUAACACAUGCAAGUCGAGCGGAUGAAGGGAGCUUGCUCCUGGAUUCAGCGGCGGACGGGUGAGUAAUGCCUAGGAAUCUGCCUGGUAGUGGGGGAUAACGUCCGGAAACGGGCGCUAAUACCGCAUACGUCCUGAGGGAGAAAGUGGGGGAUCUUCGGACCUCACGCUAUCAGAUGAGCCUAGGUCGGAUUAGCUAGUUGGUGGGGUAAAGGCCUACCAAGGCGACGAUCCGUAACUGGUCUGAGAGGAUGAUCAGUCACACUGGAACUGAGACACGGUCCAGACUACUACGGGAGGCAGCAGUGGGGAAUAUUGGACAAUGGGCAAAAGCCUGAUCCAGCCAUGCCGCGUGUGUGAAGAAGGUCUUCGGAUUGUAAAGCACUUUAAGUUGGGAGGAAGGGCAGUAAGUUAAUACCUUGCUGUUUUGACGUUACCAACAGAAUAAGCACCGGCUAACUUCGUG
This 484-nucleotide ribosomal RNA is filed under the name uncultured bacterium. RNAcentral describes it as "partial 16S ribosomal RNA". It matches the Rfam family "Bacterial small subunit ribosomal RNA", at positions 30 to 507 of the family's 1533-position model. The record is from RNAcentral.